Long non-coding RNA from Arachis ipaensis, 276 nucleotides. RefSeq lists it as uncharacterized. The record is from RefSeq and is a predicted model, not a curated record. Lineage: Eukaryota; Viridiplantae; Streptophyta; Magnoliopsida; Fabales; Fabaceae.
CCACUUAUCGAAGAAGCUUACACAAAAACUUCCAUUCAAAUUACAUGGACUUGCUGUUAGAUCAACUUUCCGUCCAUCUCGUUCCAUUUUCUUUAUUUGUACAAAGCAGAGUGUUCGUGUGUAUGAUUUAUUGAAGAUUAAGCUCAUAAAGAAGCUAGAUACUGGGCUCCGUGAAGCCUCAUCUAUUGCAGUUCAUCCUGGAGGUGAUAAUUUAAUUGUUGGGAGCAAAGAAGGGAAGCUGUGUUGGUUUGACAUGGACCUUUCAUCUAAACCUUA